This 1004-nucleotide long non-coding RNA is filed under the name Pomacea canaliculata. Its description in RNAcentral is "uncharacterized LOC112567164, transcript variant X2". Lineage: Eukaryota; Metazoa; Mollusca; Gastropoda; Architaenioglossa; Ampullariidae. The record is from RNAcentral.
UAUUCUAAAAGUGUUUUCAUAUCUUUUGUCACUGUAACUUUUGUUGGGACACCUUUACCUUGUGUCGUUAAACAAUGGAAGUUUGGGAAAAGGACACAACAGGAAGUCAUGAAAAUUACAGGAAAAUCCUACAUUCACGACCCAGCCUGCAUAAGCUUUCAGAUUUUGAAGGGCCCCGAUCGGGGGGACGGGUGAAAGUAAGGGCUACGGGCUAUCCCGCUCCUAACUGACCGAACGCCCAUAGGGCGUAGCCGUUACGCGCUGACAGUGACCCGUAUGUCGGACUUUUCACUCCGCCCUCUGACCUCGCGCCCGCAUUUGCUGACCUGCUGUCGGAUUCCACACUCGCCGCCCGAUGGGCUUCUACCUGCAACAACCGCUUUGGUCAUCGCAUUCUCGGUGAGUUUGUGAAUUAAGUGUAAAGUGUACCCUAAAAUUCUGUAAAAUAUUAUAACAUGAAUUAUUCAUACCAGUUGAAACUGUCUGUACAGUAUCAGGAUUUCUGGUAUUAGUUUAAUUUAAUUUGUAUAGUUCAGCCCGAAUCGUCGAUUUGUUGCGUGCUACUUCCGCUUUGUGCCAUGUGCUCGCUGUAGGAAGAUGCCGCAUGGCUAACACAAGGAAAUGCUGAAGAUCGGGGAUCGUGCUUAGUCAAAGCAUUGUAAUAAUGCCGACUACAAAACAGUCAACAGAUAACUCCACAGCGUGGCUGAAGAUGAGCCAAGCUGAAUGUAUAGUGAUAUUCAAGAUCCUGGAAGGGUUGUAAGAAAAUCAACUGACAUGGUAUAUGACGAGACUGGUUAUUCCCAAUCUGGAAUGAGUGGAAUUAUAAAAGAAGAACUAAAAUAUUUCAUCACUCUGCAUAUGAAACAGGAUUAUUGCUGUACCACAGCAGCCUGGGGAUAUUAUAUCUGCCACUGCUUACAAAUAGUUUGGAAGUAACUGGCAAGAAUGGAGGAACAAGUCCAAGGACAAAGCCAUCUGAUGAUGGGUCAUGCUAUUGAAGA